This 490-nucleotide ribosomal RNA is filed under the name uncultured bacterium. RNAcentral's name for it is "partial 16S ribosomal RNA". It matches the Rfam family "Bacterial small subunit ribosomal RNA", at positions 30 to 507 of the family's 1533-position model. The record is from RNAcentral.
AUUGAACGCUGGCGGCAGGCCUAACACAUGCAAGUCGAACGGUAACAGGAAACAGCUUGCUGUUUCGCUGACGAGUGGCGGACGGGUGAGUAAUGUCUGGGAAACUGCCUGAUGGAGGGGGAUAACUACUGGAAACGGUAGCUAAUACCGCAUAACGUCGCAAGACCAAAGAGGGGGACCUUCGGGCCUCUUGCCAUCAGAUGUGCCCAGAUGGGAUUAGCUAGUAGGUGUGGUAACGGCUCACCUAGGCGACGAUCCCUAGCUGUUCUGAGAGGAUGACCAGCCACACUGGAACUUAGACACGGUCCAGACUCCUACGGGAGGCAGCAGUGGGGAAUAUUGCACAAUGGGCGCAAGCCUGAUGCAGCCAUGCCGCGUGUAUGAAGAAGGCCUUCGGGUUGUAAAGUACUUUCAGCGGGGAGGAAGGGAGUAAAGUUAAUACCUUUGCUCAUUGACGUUACCCGCAGAAGAAGCACCGGCUAACUCCGUG